UCUGCAUCUGUAUCUCCGCUGGUGCGGCUUUUGCAGUCGGGCUUCCCACGUGAUUUUCCCGAUUUUUCCAAAUUUUUCAAUUUUGCCUGCUUGCCCUAUCGGUCUCUCCUUUUCGGCUUUGCCUUCGCAAAGCCUGGCCCGAUCAAUUCGAAGUAUCUACCAAAUGCACAGGACACACAAGUUUUAGGGGCUGGUUUUCAAGCUAUUUGUGUGGGACAUUCCUGGAAAAUGGUCGGUAAACCUUGAUCGACAAGAUAAUUGUGUGUGCGUGCGUCUAUAGAUAUUUCCCGAAGGAAGCGUCUUCAAGCUGGAGUUCUGGAAAAAACCAGCAUAUGUGCGUCUAUUUAUGACCUAUCUGCUCUUAAGUUUUCUUCAGUCGUUUGCUAAUGCAUUUCAAAUUACCUUUUUUUGAAAAGAGUAUCAGGCAAAGGUUAAGCUAUUUUCUAUAUAUUUCAUAGCUUUUAUUCCAAGAAUCAGUGUAAUUACUUGAUACGGAAUAUUAGACUAAUGUUUGGUAGCCUAAAAGUUUAGUAUUGUGAUGAAAAUUGAAUGUGAAAAAGAGUUAUAGCAUAAAAAGAGUUAAAGCUGCUUUUGUGUAACAAUUUUCCCAGGGUUGUAAAUUUUUGGAAUCCGGAACAAAUUAUAUCAUACAUAUUGCUUAAAACCGAAAGUCCUUUUUUUAGUCAUAUCAGAAAUGUGUCCAAAUAUCACGGGCUUACAUGGGAUAUUGGAUACUUUAAACUAAAAUACAAAGCCACAAGUUUAAACUACAAAAAUGUAUCUAUAAACAGAUGUUGUAGAGGAUACUAAUCUAGAAUCUGGAGCACAUGCAAUCUAACUUCGCCCCCGUUGACCUUGAAAAUCCAACAUGUAAUUUGAACAGAUGCAUUUGGAAUAGGAAAAUAAAUAUGGAAAACACCACCGGAAGCUGUGUUUAUAUGCAUUCUACUGCGCCUGCUGGAAAUGCUUUGGAAAACUCUCUAACUCUCUCUCUCUCUCUGCUCGCUUAGAUAGGCGGAGAGUGGUUUUUCUCUCAGAGAAAGUUUUCGGCAUUGCAGUUUUCCACAAAUAGAAAGAGAGGAAGGGACAACAAUCAGCCCACAACAACAACUGUUGAGCUGUUUAGGUAGAAAACCCGAAAAUAAAUCAAGGAUUCAAAAGUGAAGCCGAUCCCAAAAAGCAGGCAGGCUACACUUGCUGUGCAACAGAUACACACGCGCGCUCUCACACAGAUACACACUCACACACAGAUGCAGACAGAGGAGCAGUUUCAGAUGCAGCUGCGUUUCCGAACCGAGGACUUGAGGACUGAAAAUCCGUGCAACCAAUUCGCGGAUUAACCCAGUGACUAAUUUAAAACAUUUCCACACAUAGCUAACCUAUUUUUUUCUAUUUUUCUAGAUGACUCAGGUAAUGAGUUAUUGUUAAAUGGUUUUGGUUAAAACAAACUCACCCAUCACAUAAAACCACCAACACAUCAGCCACACCAUCAACAUUCAUCAUCAAACAAAAAUCAAUGUGUUCAUUUGCCGGC
Drosophila erecta is the source of this 1534-nucleotide long non-coding RNA. RefSeq lists it as uncharacterized. NCBI's taxonomy places the organism in Eukaryota, Metazoa, Arthropoda, Insecta, Diptera, Drosophilidae. The transcript has 2 exons. The record is from RefSeq and is a predicted model, not a curated record.